UAUUUAUUCCUUUAUUUUUUUAUUUUGGCAGGUUCGUCUGUUGUAGUGACAGACAGCAGCUGUUUAGGGGGGUCAGAGGUCAUCGCUCAGCUUUACAUCAACAUUUACUCAAAUUAUACCAACAAAAGGCCGUUUCCUUUAAAUGAAAUCUGUUUUCAUUUAAAGGAUGGUCACCGGGACGAAAUAAUGAACUCCACACUCCUCGUUUUAUCCCAUGUAGCGUUUCAUAGUAGACAACAACUGUAAACGAUGGUGAAGAGGAAGAGGAAGGCACAACAUCCCCACCUUCCUCAUGUUUCCUCGAACGACGACCACGACAGAGUGAAGAGAAAGAAAAAAAGAUGAGGUGAAAUAGCAGAGCCAACCCGGAGAGAAGGCUGCUGCCAUCAGCAUCUAGCUUCCUUCCUGAUGACAUCACACACAUUGUGAAAGCAUGCAGCAGUGAUUGGUCGGGGACGGGGAGCGACGUGUAGUCCGUUACGUUUCCUAAUCUGACAGAGUGACCAUCGUAACUGAACCAGGAAGUUUAAUCUGCUCCAGGCUUUAAUGAGAUUAUCAGAGAUUAACAUCAGAUUAUUAAUCUAAUGUUUCUAUUUCAUAUGUUGAACAAAUGAACUCAAUCUGACACCCAGAAGAGGAAGAAUAAGCCAUGGACCCUGCUAGCUGUCAAUCAUUAAUAA
Molecule: long non-coding RNA, 680 nt
Organism: Sebastes umbrosus (honeycomb rockfish)
Lineage: Eukaryota; Metazoa; Chordata; Actinopteri; Perciformes; Sebastidae
Exons: 2
Source: RefSeq, a predicted model, not a curated record